This 253-nucleotide ribosomal RNA is filed under the name uncultured bacterium. RNAcentral describes it as "partial 16S ribosomal RNA". It matches the Rfam family "Bacterial small subunit ribosomal RNA", at positions 524 to 776 of the family's 1533-position model. The record is from RNAcentral.
UACGAAGGGGGCUAGCGUUGUUCGGAAUUACUGGGCGUAAAGCGCACGUAGGCGGAUUGUUAAGUCAGGGGUGAAAUCCCGGAGCUCAACUCCGGAACUGCCCUUGAUACUGGCAAUCUAGAGACUGGAAGAGGUUAGUGGAAUUCCCAGUGUAGAGGUGAAAUUCGUAGAUAUUGGGAAGAACACCAGUGGCGAAGGCGGCUAACUGGUCCAGUACUGACGCUGAGGUGCGAAAGCGUGGGGAUCAAACAGG